GAGCUUUUGUUCACACUUUAAAUAGCAGUCCCAGAAUGAUUUCACUACAGACUCUCUGGAAAGCCUGGGAGCUGAAUUCCGGAAGAUCCCCACAUCGAUGAAAGCAAAGCGAAGCCACCAAGCCGUCAUCAUGUCCACGUCGCUACGAGUCAGCCCAUCCAUCCAUGGCUACCACUUCGACACAGCCUCUCGUAAGAAAGCCGUGGGCAACAUCUUUGAAAACACAGACCAAGAAUCACUAGAAAGGCUCUUCAGAAACUCUGGAGACAAGAAAGCAGAGGAGAGAGCCAAGAUCAUUUUUGCCAUAGAUCAAGAUGUGGAGGAGAAAACGCGUGCCCUGAUGGCCUUGAAGAAGAGGACAAAAGACAAGCUUUUCCAGUUUCUGAAACUGCGGAAAUAUUCCAUCAAAGUUCACUGAAGAGAAGAGGAUGGAUAAGGACGUUAUCCAAGAAUGGACAUUCAAAGACCAAGUGAGUUUGUGAGAUUCUAACAGAUGCAGCAUUUUGCUGCUACCUUACAAGCUUCUCUUCUGUCAGGACUCCAGAGGCUGGAAAGGGACCGGGACUGGAAAGGGACCAGGACUGAACAGACUGGUUACAAAGACUCCAAACAAUUUCAUGCCCUGUGCUGUUACAGAGGAGAACAAAAUGCUUUCAGCAAGGAUUUGAAAACUCUUCCGUCCCUGCAGGAAAGGAUUGAUGCUGAUAGAAGAGCCUGGACAGAUGUAAUGAGAACUAAAGAAAACAGAUGGCUGGAGAUGACAUUUAUCCAGGGUCACUUUGUCAGGCCCUAGGACUUAAAUCGAAGUUGAACUUUUUUUUUUUUUUUUAACCAAAUAGAUAGGGGAAGGGAGGAGGGAGAGGGAGGACAGGGAGAGAAAAUACCAUGCAUAAAUUGUUUACUGAAUUUUUAUAUCUGAGUGUUCAAAAUAUUUCCAAGCCUGAGUAUUGUCUAUUGGUAUAGAUUUUUAGAAAUCAAUAAUUGAUUAUUUAUUUGCACUUAUUACAAUGCCUGAAAAAGUGCACCACAUGGAUGUUAAGUAGAAAUUCAAGAAAGUAAGAUGUCUUCAGCAACUCAGUAAAACCUUACGCCACCUUUUGGUUUGUAAAAGGUUUUUUAUACAUUUCAAACAGGUUGCACAAAAGUUAAAAUAAUGGGGUCUUUUAUAAAUCCAAAGUACUGUGAAAACAUUUUACAUAUUUUUUAAAUCUUCUGACUAAUGCUAAAACGUAAUCUAAUUAAAUUUCAUACAGUUACUGCAGUAAGCAUUAGGAAGUGAAUAUGAUAUACAAAAUAGUUUAUAAAGACUCUAUAGUUUCUAUAAUUUAUUUUACUGGCAAAUGUCAUGCAACAAUAAUAAAUUAUUGUAAACUUUGUGGCUUUUGGUCUGUGAUGCUUGGUCUCAAAGGAAAAAAUAAGAUGGUAAAUGUUGAUAUUUACAAACUUUUCUAAAGAUGUGUCUCUAACAAUAAAAGUUAAUUUUAGAGUAGUUUUAUAUUAAUUACCAAACUUUUUCAAAACAAAUUCUUACGUCAAAUAUCUGGGAAGUUUCUCUGUCCCAAUCUUAAAAUAUAAAAUAUAGAUAUAGAAGUUCAUAGAUUGACUCCUUGGCAUUUCUAUUUAUGUAUCCAUUAAGGAUGAGUUUUAAAAGGCUUUCUCUUCAUACUUUUGAAAAAUUUCUUCUAUGAUUACAGUAGCUAUGUACAUGUGUACAUCUAUUUUUCCCAAGCAAUAUGUUUUGGGUUUAGAGUCUGAGUGAUGACCAAGAUUCUGUGUGUUACUACUGUUUGUUUAAUAGGAACAAAUAUAGAAAUAAUAUUAUCUCUUUGCUUAUUUCCCGUUAAAACUAUAAUAAAAUGUUUCUAGGACAGCAUACGUAAAUGCCUGCUAUGCUUUCCUAACAAAAAUGAAAUUUUUCCACAAGUUAAGCAUUUUAGAAACACCUAAAGUGUUUUUCAAAAUGCUGAUCACAGUAAGUCAAAACAAGUGAAUUACCUCACAUCUGCUGGGAGGGUUACAAGUCAGGAUUAUAAAUACUAUGUUUUUAAAAAGAAAAUCAAAUGGCAAAUUCUAUUUUCAAAUAGUAAUUUACUCGUUCACUGAAGAUAAUGCAAAGCACUUUAUUAAAAAUGAGUUCUUUCCAAGAGAGCAUUCCGGAAGAUAACACAUUAAUAUGCAAAAUUGUGUGUGUGUGUGUGUGUGUGUGUGUGUGUGCAUUUUUCUAAGAGGAAUAUUGAUAAUUUUCACGAGAUUUGUAGAGACAGCUAUAACUCCAAAAAAAGUUAUAAACAGAAAAAGGGUUUGCGGAGUAGCAGGAGAAUUGGAGGAAGCCUAACCCAGGCUGGGGACAUACUAGACAAUUCCAUAGAAAUUUUCCCUGUUUCAUUUUCACUGUGCUGUGUUACGGGAGUAUGAAAGAGAAGGCUGUAAAGAGGCCCUCGGCUCCAUAACCCUACUUUCCCAUCCUUAUGAACUGAGCUUUCUUAAUGUUCACUGCGUGUGCUAGAAAUAACUUCCUUCUCCUGAUAGGGCCCAUCAGUGAAAAUCUUUAUUUUCUAUUCAAAAAUUGAAGCACACUUGGAUGCUAAAUGUAGUUCAAGAGUUAAGUGUAUUAUACAUACUCAUAACUAUUUACUCUGCCACUGUUGUUUUCAAUAGGGUACAAAGUAUAUCUUCUCCUCUUUUCACAUUAGCAUGUAUUAAGUUGUUUUCUUGCAGUAUAUUACGUUAUUUUCUGAUUUCAAGGCUGUAACAUGGGAGACAAAUUAAAAAGCAAUUUGGAUGCACUCCACAAUGGUAUGGAGAAUAAUAACACAUCCAGUAGAUUAUCACAAACGUGUCAUCUUUACCAUUCAUGGAGAACAAAAGUUGGAAUCAAUUUAAUUGCAUAAGGAUGAUUUUUAGCUUCAUAAUACAUUCAUUACUUAAUGUGAGGUGAAAAUAAACAUCAGUAGAACAGGGAGGAUUGGUUCAGUUUAGAAAUUUAUGGCACAAGGAUAAACAAAUAUAUCUCAGGACAUCUCACUGUAAUUGAAGAAAUGAAAGCAGCAAAGAUUAAAUAGCUCGUUAAUCAUAUUUGUAUCAUGAGAUCACAGUAAUAACUUUCACUGAGUGUUUACUCUCAGUCAGACAAUUUUCUAAGUGUUUUUUUUGUGUAUUACUAAUACAUCACUUAAUUAGUGCCAUGACAUAAAUGCUAAGGGCAUGUGCGUGUGUAAUAUAGUAAUAAAACUGAAGCACAGAGAGGUGCAGUAACUUGGUCAAUGACACGCAGCUAAUAACUCCAGAAAUCAAAUCCAGGAACUCUGGCCUUCAUUCCCAGCCACUAGACUAUACCGGUUCUUUAGGAGAAACCAAGCUUCUCUUUUUCUUUUAAGUAACGAUACUUCUAUGUUAGUCAGUCAUGAAGACAGGAAGGCCUGGCCUCUGAAGCAUCACUUUUAUCUGACCUGGGUAUGUUUGUCUAUUUAUUUGUUACACGUGCUACAUGGGGAAAGCGUCUUAGUUUAAUAGUUUUAAUUGUAUCAAGGAUGUGCUUAGAUACAGGCUUUCAAGCCUGCAGUUAAAAUAACACUUGUAUUAGCAUCCUGGAACACAAGGCCACACGUAAGCUUUGGGUCUUAGUUUGUUCAUUGAAGGAACUCAGAAACCAUGGAUUCAAUAUUUUAUUCACUCAGUUCAUCCCCUGGCCCACAGCAAAGGGGGAUUUGUCCAGCAGAUAGGAUUUUCUGAGAAAGGGGUCCAGGGUGUAUGGUUGACUAUAUUUUUCUCAUCAUCGGAGGGUAACCAGGGUACGCAAUUGACAUUCCCUUAGAAAGUUUCAUCUGCUAGUAAACUAAUAAUGAAGCCAUGGCCUGAGGAUUGCAUGUUUUUUCAGAGUAUUUAGUUGACCUUUCUAUACUCCACAUGAGGGUUUCUCAGAACAGCCUGUAUGGAUUCCCAGCAGAACAGAUGUGGGGGGCAGGGCAGCAUUUGUAUCUUACCCAUUCAACAAAAAUACAGUAAGCACCCAUAUGUGGGAGCCUCCAUGGCCAGAAUGGAUCCUGGUUCUCCAUAUCAGAAGAACAGGAAAGGUUUUUAAAAGGGGUAUCACACGGUGAGAAGUGUGAUGGGAGUUUAGACAGAAUGCUCUGGAAGCAUAAGGCAGGAAUUAUGUGUGUGUGUGUGUGCGCGCACGCGCGUGUGUUUGUGUUUGUGUGUGCGUGUGUGCUUGUGCAUGUGUGUGUGUGCUUGUGUGUGUCUGUGUCUGUAUGUCUGCGUGUUUGGGGAGUAGCAGGAGAAUUGGAGGAGGCCUAAUCCAGUUGGAGGAGACCCUAGCAAAUUCCACAGAGAAUUUUCCCUGUUUUAAAGUAGGAGUUGGGGGAGUAGAGAGAAAAAUUUUUAUUUCAGCCUAUGCCUAUAGUAUUUGCCAAGACAAGGAGGCAGGAAAGAGUAUUUGAAAAUCUCCAGGCAGUUCAGUCUGACUAGGGGCCUAAGCAUUCCCAGCUAAUAAUUAGGAAGGCAGCCAGGGCCGGGUGCCGUGGCUCACUCCUGUAAGCCCAACACUUUGGGAGGCCGAGGCAGGCAGAUCACUUGCGGUCAAGAGUUCCAGACCAGCCUGGCCAACAUGGUGAAACGCUGUCUCUACUAAAAAAUACAAAAAUUAGCAGGGUGUGGUGGUGCGUGCCCGUAAUCCCAGCUACUUGAGAGGCUGAGGCGUGAGAAUCACUUGAACCUGGGAGGCGGAGGUUGCAGUGAGCCCAGAUCACCCCACUGUACUCCAGCUUGGGCUGCAGAGCGAGACUCCAUCUUGAAAAAAAGAAAGGCAGCUGGGUUUUAAAUGACAAGUGUUUUAUCAUCUGAAAGAUUCCAGAGAAGCCCAGUGAUCCUGAAGGGUACUGGCAGCCACAGUAUCUGAAAUGCUGUGUCUGAGGACCAUCUUCCCCUGACAUUGCAGAAUACCUAGGACAGAGCAACUGUUUCCAGGCCUACUCUUAUCACAGUCUCCUUGGGGACUUUUAAAAAUCCAGGCCUUUGGACUUAAUGAUUCAGAGUUUCUGGGGCUGGACACCUGCUAGCUCCGUGCUUCAGUCACUCCCC
This 5079-nucleotide long non-coding RNA is filed under the name Homo sapiens (human). Its description in RNAcentral is "HSALNT0346301". Lineage: Eukaryota; Metazoa; Chordata; Mammalia; Primates; Hominidae. The record is from RNAcentral.